Molecule: ribosomal RNA, 271 nt
Filed under: uncultured archaeon
Lineage: Archaea
Description: partial 16S ribosomal RNA
Rfam family: Archaeal small subunit ribosomal RNA
Source: RNAcentral
CAGCUCUCCGAGUAGUGUGGACGUUUAUUGGGCCUAAAGCAUCCGUAGCUUGCUAGAUAAGUCCUCUGUUAAAUCCACCGAUUCAAUCGUUGGAUUGCGGGGGAUACUGUUUGGCUAGGGGACGGGAGAGGUCGACGGUAUUUCCGGGGUAGGGGUGAAAUCCUAUAAUCCCGGGAGGACCACCAGUGGCGAAGGCUGUCGACUAGAACGCGCCCGACGGUGAGGGAUGAAAGCUGGGGGAGCGAACCGGAUUAGAUACCCGCGUAGUCCC